GAAGGACAACAUAAAAUCCAGUUAUUCCUAUGGCUAGUUGUUAAGAAAAUGCAUUUAUACUUUAUGUCUGAAAUGAAUUAAUCUGAACAAAAUCUAAUAAUUUUCUUAUCAUAUUCAUGAUUAGGAUAAGAAACAAGGAAAAAAGAGAAAGAAAAAAAAAUAUCACACCUUACAGAAGUCAUCCGAAAGCUCUGGUUCAGACUCUGAUUCAGAUAGCAAGGAUAGUUUAAGAACUAAACGGACAAAGGAAGAUUAUGAAAGAGACAAGGAUUCAAAAAGUCUUGUUAGGAAAAGAAUAAAAGCAGACCAUACGGAAGAAUUAUUGCCAUCAGACUCUUCACUGGAAUCGAUUGAAACAGAGGAGGUACAAGCAAAAAAGAAGAAAAACAGUGAAGAAAAAGAGAAAAACGUAAGCUUAUUUUUAUCUGUCUAAGAACUCCCUAUUUCAAUUGCUCUAAUUUCUCGUGACUCUACUGUAUCAAUAAUUGGAUGAUUUUCAAUUAUUACAUAAUGCACAUAAGAUAUAGAUAAAUACUUAAUCCCCAUUAGAGUAAAAAUACUAGUCAGAAAAUAGGAGGACUGCAAAGGAGUACAGUGCCUGGAAUGUUUGACAGAAAUGUGGCAUAGAAAUCUAAUAAAUAAAUAAUGAAUACUACA
RNAcentral lists this long non-coding RNA (657 nucleotides) under Notechis scutatus (mainland tiger snake). Its description in RNAcentral is "lncRNA (ENSNSUG00000009338.1)". The record is from RNAcentral. Lineage: Eukaryota; Metazoa; Chordata; Lepidosauria; Squamata; Elapidae.